This 759-nucleotide ribosomal RNA is filed under the name uncultured Neisseriaceae bacterium. RNAcentral describes it as "bacterial SSU rRNA". It matches the Rfam family "Bacterial small subunit ribosomal RNA", at positions 28 to 776 of the family's 1533-position model. The record is from RNAcentral. Lineage: Bacteria; Pseudomonadati; Pseudomonadota; Betaproteobacteria; Neisseriales; Neisseriaceae.
AUUGAACGCUGGCGGCAUGCUUUACACAUGCAAGUCGGACGGCAGCAUAAAAGAGCUUGCUCUUUUGAUGGCGAGUGGCGAACGGGUGAGUAAUGCAUCGGAACGUACCGAGUAGUGGGGGGUAACUGUCCGAAAGGAUGGCUAAUACCGCAUAUUCUCUGAGGAGGAAAGCAGGGGACCUUAGGGCCUUGCGCUAUUUGAGCGGCCGAUGUCUGAUUAGCUAGUUGGUGGGGUAAGAGCCCACCAAGGCGACGAUCAGUAGCGGGUCUGAGAGGAUGAUCCGCCACACUGGGACUGAGACACGGCCCAGACUCCUACGGGAGGCAGCAGUGGGGAAUUUUGGACAAUGGGCGCAAGCCUGAUCCAGCCAUGCCGCGUGUAUGAAGAAGGCCUUCGGGUUGUAAAGUACUUUUGUCAGGGAAGAAAAGCCUGAGGAUAACACCCUCAGGUCAUGACGGUACCUGAAGAAUAAGCACCGGCUAACUACGUGCCAGCAGCCGCGGUAAUACGUAGGGUGCGAGCGUUAAUCGGAAUUACUGGGCGUAAAGCGAGCGCAGACGGUUAUUUAAGCAAGAUGUGAAAGCCCCGGGCUCAACCUGGGAACUGCGUUUUGAACUGGGUAACUAGAGUGUGUCAGAGGGGGGUAGAAUUCCACGUGUAGCAGUGAAAUGCGUAGAGAUGUGGAGGAAUACCGAUGGCGAAGGCAGCCCCCUGGGAUAACACUGACGUUCAUGCUCGAAAGCGUGGGUAGCAAACNGG